AGGACGAACGCUGGCGGCGUGCCUAACACAUGCAAGUCGAACGAGAUCCAUGGAAGCUUGCUUCUUGAAGAUCUAGUGGCGAACGGGUGAGUAACACGUGAGCAACCUGCCCUGGAAUCGGGGAUAACUCGAGGAAACUCGAGCUAAUACCGGAUACCUUCCCUUGGCCGCAUGACCGAGGGAAGAAAGAAUUUCGUUCCAGGAGGGGCUCGCGGCCUAUCAGUUAGUUGGCGGGGUAACGGCCCACCAAGACUACGACGGGUAGCUGGUUUGAGAGAACGAUCAGCCACACUGGGACUGAGACACGGCCCAGACUCCUACGGGAGGCAGCAGUGGGGAAUCUUGCGCAAUGGGCGAAAGCCUGACGCAGCAACGCCGCGUGCGGGAUGACGGCCUUCGGUGUAACCGCUUUCAGGAGGACGAAAUGACGGUACCUCCAGAAGAAGCCCCGGCUAACUACGUGCCAGCAGCCGC
This 474-nucleotide ribosomal RNA is filed under the name uncultured bacterium. RNAcentral's name for it is "SSU rRNA". It matches the Rfam family "Bacterial small subunit ribosomal RNA", at positions 26 to 518 of the family's 1533-position model. The record is from RNAcentral.